GGGGAUGACGGGCUUCGACAGCGCGCAUUCUCACGGGUUGCGAGCCGAGCUUGGAUACCUCGUAAAAAUAUUCAAAAAAACAAAUAACUGCCAAUAAAACAGCAGUUCCCGCGUUCGCAUACGCUUAAGCGCGGGCAUCGGCCCUUGAUAGUUCCAUAGAGGACAGCCGGUGUAAUAAUGGAAAUCGUUCCCUGGUAGAGUUCCGCUUCCCGCUCUCCGGAAACUAAAUUUUAGAGAAGCGAUUUCUUUCUUUUUGAAAGUACGCUCGUAGAUUGUCCGUGUAUAAUCGUGUUGGACGCCGGUUCAACUCCGGCCAUCUCCACCA
RNAcentral lists this transfer-messenger RNA (325 nucleotides) under Candidatus Jorgensenbacteria bacterium RIFCSPHIGHO2_02_FULL_45_20. It matches the Rfam family "transfer-messenger RNA". Rfam says of the family: Bacterial tmRNA, also known as 10Sa RNA or SsrA, is named for its dual tRNA and mRNA-like properties. Its role is to liberate the mRNA from a stalled ribosome. RNAcentral also lists the same sequence under 2 other names. Lineage: Bacteria; Candidatus Joergenseniibacteriota. The record is from RNAcentral.